Molecule: long non-coding RNA, 823 nt
Filed under: Homo sapiens (human)
Lineage: Eukaryota; Metazoa; Chordata; Mammalia; Primates; Hominidae
Description: long non-coding RNA NONHSAT152402.1
Source: RNAcentral
CGGAGGUGUCCGGCGGGCUGCAGUUCCGGUUUAUCGCGGCCUUCCCACACCUUCGCGUUGUACCACCACGGGGCUAGAGGGGCCGGGGAGCGCAUCCCGCCCCCGCCCCCACCCACGCCGCCCCCUCCUCCGCCGCCACUGCCGCUCCUCACACACUCGGAAUCACUGGCCUCACUACCUGGGGUCGGGGCGGUGCGGGUGUGCGCGCGCCGACCUCUGGCGCGUUCUAACCCGCGCGCCUGCCUUCCCGGGCUUCGUCGGCGCGCACCGAUUUCCGCAUCCGGCUCCGGACGCUUCCGGUCUUAGCUGGACCCGUCUGGGAGGGUGUACUACAGACCUCCACAUGUUGGACAGUAGGAUUCAGCAGAGAAUGAGUCCCACAUCCUCUUUUCAUCCAUAAGCCACUCUUCCCAACUACUCUUCCGCCUUCCAUUGUCCCUAUGUCUACUUUACUGCUCAAUCUGGAUUUUGGGGAACCUCCUCCCAAAAAGGCAUUAGAAGGAAAUGCCAAGCACCGAAAUUUUGUCAAGAAGCGGAGGCUCUUAGAACGGAGAGGCUUUCUGAGUAAAAAGAACCAACCCCCUAGCAAGGCGCCUAAGUUGCACUCUGAACCUUCAAAGAAAGGGGAAACUCCUACGGUCGAUGGCACUUGGAAGACCCCUUCCUUCCCAAAAAAGAAGACAGCUGCUUCCAGCAAUGGGUCAGGACAGCCCCUGGACAAGAAAGCUGCAGUGUCUUGGUUGACCCCUGCCCCUUCAAAAAAGGCUGAUUCUGUUGCUGCUAAAGUAGAUUUGCUGGGGGAGUUCCAGAGUGCCCUUCCAAA